Molecule: unclassified non-coding RNA, 238 nt
Organism: Pan paniscus (pygmy chimpanzee)
Lineage: Eukaryota; Metazoa; Chordata; Mammalia; Primates; Hominidae
Gene: 7SK
Rfam family: 7SK RNA
About the family: 7SK was discovered as an abundant small nuclear RNA in the mid-70s but a possible function has only recently been suggested. Two independent studies have found that 7SK RNA binds the CDK9/cyclin T complex (known as elongation factor P-TEFb).
Source: Ensembl
GAACAAGAAGGGGAUCUGGCUGAAACAUCUGAGUCUUCUUCUAGGACCAGGGCUUAUUGCAUUCUUCAGGCUACUUAAGUAGGUGGCUCCUUCCUUCCUCAUUGCCUCAAGUGUGUUCCUCCAGUGCUUGGACAUGAAGGCUGCCCUUCUCUGUGGAAAGGGGCCUCUUUCCAGUCAAUGAUAACUGGACAUUUUCCCACUGGAAUGUAUAAACAAGCUUUGAGGUCUCAAACUCCUU